CCAACCGUACCUCCGCCUCUCCAGCUGCCAGCUGCCAGCUGCCACACCAAUGAGUCGCCCAAACCGCCGGAUCUAGCCGCGGACCAUCACCAGCGUAUCUCAACCACCAGGGUAACAUACAUAUCGGAAAGAGCAAAAUAAAAAGGAAAAGAACCCUCCGGAUACAGAGAGACAGCAGCACACGCCAGAGGUUACCAGAGGUGAGAUCUACUUUCGGUGCUUCGAGAGAGAAGGGAGUUGAGGAGAGAGGCCUAAUGCUAUCUUUCUUCACACUAUAUUUUUGGUUACAUUCUUAUAUAAUGUUCACGUUUAAUUGGUUAAUAUCGUCAAACAAUCUAUGAAAAUAACAAUCUAAUAUUAAAAUGAAAAAAAUACAAAAAUAGCACUAAAUCAAGUUUAACUUUCUCAAACUAGCACUUAAGGUCAAAAGUCACAAAAAUAACACUUAAUGUUUUAUCAAAAGUCACAAAAUUAGGGUUUAGAGUUAAAGGGUGCAGUUUAAGAUUUAGGGUUUAGGGUUUAGGGUUUAGAUUUUAGGGUUUAGGGUUUAGGGUUUAGAAUUUAGGGUUUAGAGUUUAGGGUUUAUGGUUUAGGGUUUAGAGUUUAGAGUUUAGGGUUUAGGGUUUAGAAUUUAGGGUUUAGAGUUUAGGGUUUAGGGUUUAUGGUUUAGGAUUUAGAGUUUAGAGUUUAGGGUUUAGAGUUGAGAAAUGAGGUUUUGGGG
RNAcentral lists this long non-coding RNA (721 nucleotides) under Brassica napus (rape). RNAcentral's name for it is "long non-coding RNA (BNAP_LNC012134)". The record is from RNAcentral. Lineage: Eukaryota; Viridiplantae; Streptophyta; Magnoliopsida; Brassicales; Brassicaceae.